CCCGGUGACAAGUUUAACGGCCUCGGUACCUAAGCGAGCGAAGGUAGCAUAAUCACUUGUUCUUUAAAUAGGGACCUGUAUCAACGGCAUCACGAGGGUUGAACUGUCUCCCCUCUUUAAUCAGUGAAUCUGACCUCUUCGUGAAGAAGCGAAGAUACUAAUAUAAGACGAGAAGACCCCAUGGAGCUUCAAACAAAGUAACACCCUCUUCUACCCCUACCAUAAUAAACAAGAGCCCUGUUAACUAGCUUUUGGAUGGGGCAUCCGAGGAGUAUAAUCUAACCUCCCUGACAACUUAUCUCAGAGCUACUACUCUAAGAAACAGUAAACUGAUGUAAUAUGACCCGAUUAUCGAUCAACGAACCAAGUUACCCUGGGGAUAACAGCGCAAUCCAUUUCAAGAGUCCUUAUCGACAAAUGGGUUUACGACCUCGAUGUUGGAUCAGGGUACCCCAGUGGUGCAGCCGCUACUAAAGGUUCGUUUGUUC
Molecule: ribosomal RNA, 488 nt
Filed under: Phrynobatrachus acridoides (Zanzibar puddle frog)
Lineage: Eukaryota; Metazoa; Chordata; Amphibia; Anura; Phrynobatrachidae
Description: partial 16S ribosomal RNA
Rfam family: Bacterial large subunit ribosomal RNA
Source: RNAcentral